CUAGAGAAUAAAAUGGAAUUCAAACAACCUAUCAUAGUCUACAGAAUGAAGGAUGAGAGCUUGAGUUUAACUUAAACUUUUAUUGAUAGAGCUUAAAGGCAAACAAGACCAUUAUAAUCAUUUUGAGUGACCUCCUGUACACUACACCACCACUAAAUUUUACCCAGUUACCCAUGAAACAAGCCCAAUAACUUCUGUACAGCUAAAGGAUGUUUUCCAGAGCAGCACUGAAUCUUGAUUUGAAACACAGCACCUAAAAACACUUCCCUUGGGAGCUUGUACCAGAGAUUACAAAGUUAAAACUGUGUCCCAUUACUACAUUAGUUUGUCCAACAUCAGCUUACAGCCACUGAUUUGCCAUGUCCUUCUACACUGGGCUGAAGAGCCUGUUAAUACCCAGUAUUUUCUCUCCUUGAAGGCACUUAAAUUUUGCAAUCAAAUCAUCUUAGAGUAAUCUUUCUGAUACCUGCAUAGAUUUAACUGUUCUUGUAUUUCUCAUUGCUAAGAAUCUUCUAGGAUGACUUUGGAGCCUGUUUUCUACACUGGCCUUAAUUUUUUAUCAUCGUUAAGAUAGUUACCAGAAUUAAGCAAAGUGCUUCGACAGACAUUUUGCCAAUGCCCUGCAGAAAUAAAUUUCUGUCUUUUUUCCUCUGGUUUUUAGUACCUCUUUUCAACAGCUACAGAUCUCAGCAGGCCUUUUGGGUGCUGUCUUGCACUGAAGGCUUGAGAUUCUUGUCUUAUGAAACAUCUAAACCCUUUCUUACUUUUUGAAGAUACGGUUCACUAUUUCAGAGUGAUCAUUGACAUUCACUGCUUCUAAAUUGUUUUUCCUUUCUUGGCUUCUUCAAAAUUCUGAUCAUUGUAAUGUGACCAGCUUGUCUGUGAUCUAGAUUUGCAAUAACUCAAUAACUGCUAUUCAUCCUCUUUUUUUUUCUUUUUCUUUUUUCUUUUUUUUUUUUGGUUUUUUUUUUUUUUGGAGCAAUUAUCAAGGCUGUACAAGUGAGUGCAUUUAUUUCUGCUUAGAAAUCCUAUGUUAACAAUUGCAUCACAUUAAGCACAUAAGUGCCUGUUAAAAACAACUACCACCAUCCUGCAGUCAUUGGCGCAUCCAUUACAGUUUUCAGCUGUGUUAAUACCACAGUGUGGAACAUUACCAUAGAGCACAACAUUUCUGUGAGGCAGCAGAUGGGAGCUCAGUGCUGCAUAUUUUCUGUUCUCAAGUGAAUUUUUGAGAUCUGUCUGUUCUCUCUAGGGCAACCCACAAAUGGCCUGUAUAAAUGCAAAGCCUGU
This 1290-nucleotide long non-coding RNA is filed under the name Gallus gallus (chicken). RNAcentral describes it as "lncRNA (ENSGALG00010006951.1)". The record is from RNAcentral. Lineage: Eukaryota; Metazoa; Chordata; Aves; Galliformes; Phasianidae.